Molecule: transfer RNA, 74 nt
Filed under: Actinomadura cremea
Lineage: Bacteria; Bacillati; Actinomycetota; Actinomycetes; Streptosporangiales; Thermomonosporaceae
Description: tRNA-Gly
Rfam family: tRNA
About the family: Transfer RNA (tRNA) molecules are approximately 80 nucleotides in length.
Source: RNAcentral
ACCGCACAGGUCUUAAUGGCUGAGACGUCUGGUUUCCACCCAGAAGAACCGGGUUCGAAUCCCGGGUGCGGUUC